Long non-coding RNA from Girardinichthys multiradiatus, 266 nucleotides. RefSeq lists it as uncharacterized. NCBI's taxonomy places the organism in Eukaryota, Metazoa, Chordata, Actinopteri, Cyprinodontiformes, Goodeidae. The record is from RefSeq and is a predicted model, not a curated record. The transcript has 4 exons.
AACAGCUCCGGAAGAGGAGAAUAUAUCGAAUGAUUUAAUCCAGAGCCCAAGCCUGGAAAACAUUCAGCAGAACUGUACCAGUUCAGUGCAGGAAGAGCUGGAACUGCCCGGAACCGUCCAAAUACCCCGUGUACGGAAAUAUCUUAAAUUGAGGAAAAGACGACGACUCUGUGCUCUGUAUACCAGGGUGAGGCUUGUUAGAGGUUUAUUGAAUGAGGCAACGUUGAUGGUGGAGCAGAUUUCAUCGAGACCUGGACAGCAAAAGC